CAACUUCUCAAAAUGAAGUUCCCUUCUCAGCUCCUGGGGCUAAUGAUGCUCUGGGUCACAGAAUUGCCGUUCUUCUUCUCUUCGAUCUGCCGAUGGAUUUUCAGGUGUUUGCAAUCUCUAGACAAGCUAUCUAGCUGAUCUCCGGCUAGCUGAAGUAGUCUCAGACUGCUACUUCUCCGCCAUCUUGACUCCUCCCCCGAAACUACCAACAUUAAACAUUAAAC
RNAcentral lists this long non-coding RNA (224 nucleotides) under Mustela putorius furo (domestic ferret). RNAcentral describes it as "lncRNA (ENSMPUG00000026534.1)". Lineage: Eukaryota; Metazoa; Chordata; Mammalia; Carnivora; Mustelidae. The record is from RNAcentral.